CAGCGCCAAGAAGAGGCCUUUGCCGCUGGUCGGGAUUGGGAUGUCGAAGAACACAGUGUCGUCGGCCCGCUUCCGGAAGGUGGACGUGGAUGAAUAUGACGAGAACAAGUUCGUGGACGAAGAAGAUGGGGGCGACGGCCAGGCCGGGCCCGACGAGGGCGAGGUGGACUCCUGCCUGCGGAAACAUGACAGCUGCCCUACAGGCAGCUCUGAAGAACCCCCCUAUCAACACCAAGAGUCAGGCAGUGAAGGACCGGGCAGGCAGCAUUGUCUUGAAGGUGCUCAUCUCUUUUAAAGCUAAUGAUAUAGAAAAGGCAGUUCAAUCUCUGGACAAGAAUGGUGUGGAUCUCCUAAUGAAGUAUAUUUAUAAAGGAUUUGAGAGCCCGUCUGACAAUAGCAGUGCUAUGUUACUGCAAUGGCAUGAAAAGGCACUUGCUGCUGGAGGAGUAGGGUCCAUUGUUCGUGUCUUGACUGCAAGAAAAACUGUGUAGUCUGGCAGGAAGUGGAUUAUCUGCCUCGGGAGUGGGAAUUGCUGGUACAAAGACCAAAACAACCAAAUGCCACCGCUGCCCUGUGGGUAGCAUCUGUUUCUCUCAGCUUUGCCUUCUUGCUUUUUCAUAUCUGUAAAGAAAAAAAUUACAUAUCAGUUGUCCUUUAAUGAAA
Molecule: long non-coding RNA, 663 nt
Filed under: Homo sapiens (human)
Lineage: Eukaryota; Metazoa; Chordata; Mammalia; Primates; Hominidae
Description: long non-coding RNA NONHSAT152637.1
Source: RNAcentral